UUCAAGUUUUUAGAACUAUGUACAUAUCUACUUUAAAUGAAUUAAACAUAGAAUUUUAAUCAAACUUAUAAUAAACAUUAAAAUUAAAGAAAGAUUAGAAACAAAAAAAAUCUGUCGAUGUACAACAAGAUAUAGAACCAAAAUACUACCAAAAUAAACUUUACUGUCCAAAGUGAAAAUAAAGUAAAACAACUAAAAGAAAAAAUUCCUAUUGGUUAGUUCAUAAGCACAAGGAUUGAGCUUUUCACCGUCAGAUGACGGGAUCCUCAUCCAAUGGACCAAAAUUAUUUUUUUAUUCAGUUCUGGAAUUUUUUGAGCAAACAGAUCUCAUAUCUUUCGACACAUUCUCUUAGACAACUUCAUCUCCUCAUCUCUUUCUCCUUAGGCUUUAUUCACUACUAGCCCCCUCAUUCUCUUUGCCAAUCUCUGCUCCAUUUCUCUCUACCCUCGCGAGAUCUCUGCUCCAUGACUCAUCUUCUCUCCCUUUGUCGAUUUAUCUUUUCUUCAUCUUCUUCUCUCUUAUCAAGAAUACUAGAUCUAGAAGCAGAGGCUAAGCAUCGAUGUUUCUCACGAUACUGACAAAUCUCAUUCCGCCGCGAGACGCGGCUGAGGUGGUCGACGACUCCGACACUCGCGGUGGUCGCGAGCAGAGAUGGUGGUGCGGCGGGUGAGGACUGGAAGAUGAAGAAGACAACGAAGUGCAUGGAUUGAUGCGA
Molecule: long non-coding RNA, 716 nt
Organism: Brassica napus (rape)
Lineage: Eukaryota; Viridiplantae; Streptophyta; Magnoliopsida; Brassicales; Brassicaceae
Exons: 2
Source: RefSeq, a predicted model, not a curated record